UGCCAGCAGCCGCGGUAAUACGGAGGGUGCAAGCGUUGUUCGGAAUUAUUGGGCGUAAAGCGCGUGUAGGCGGUUCGUUAAGUCUGAUGUGAAAGCCCGGGGCUCAACCCCGGAAGUGCAUUGGAAACUGGCGAACUUGAGUAUGGGAGAAGAAAGUGGAAUUCCGAGUGUAGGAGUGAAAUCCGUAGAUAUUCGGAGGAACACCAGUGGCGAAGGCGGCUUUCUGGACCAAUACUGACGCUGAGAUGCGAAAGCGUGGGGAGCGAAGAGGAUUCGAUA
RNAcentral lists this ribosomal RNA (279 nucleotides) under uncultured bacterium. Its description in RNAcentral is "partial 16S ribosomal RNA". It matches the Rfam family "Bacterial small subunit ribosomal RNA", at positions 506 to 784 of the family's 1533-position model. The record is from RNAcentral.